UACGUAGGGUGCAGGCGUUAAUCGGAAUUACUGGGCGUAAAGCGUGCGCAGGCGGUUUCUUAAGUCAGAUGUGAAAGCCCCGGGCUUAACCUGGGAACUGCGUUUGAAACUGGGAGACUUGAGUGUGGCAGAGGGGGGUGGAAUUCCUGGUGUAGCGGUGAAAUGCGUAGAUAUCAGGAGGAACACCGGUGGCGAAGGCGGCUCUCUGGACCACAACUGACGCUGAGGCGCGAAAGCUAGGGGAGCAAACAGG
This 253-nucleotide ribosomal RNA is filed under the name uncultured bacterium. RNAcentral describes it as "partial 16S ribosomal RNA". It matches the Rfam family "Bacterial small subunit ribosomal RNA", at positions 524 to 776 of the family's 1533-position model. The record is from RNAcentral.